RNAcentral lists this long non-coding RNA (283 nucleotides) under Malus domestica (apple). Its description in RNAcentral is "long non-coding RNA (MDOM_LNC000576)". Lineage: Eukaryota; Viridiplantae; Streptophyta; Magnoliopsida; Rosales; Rosaceae. The record is from RNAcentral.
GUUAAGCACUCAAAUUAAACCCUCUUUUGACAAUUGUAGUAUAUGUAUAAGUAGGGAUCAUUCUGGACCGGGGAUUAGGAGGGAUUGCUAAUCUAAACUAAACUGACUUACAAAACGAAACUUAAAAACACUUAACUAGACUCUAUAGACUCAAAAUACUUAAAAACACAAACUAAAAUAGAUUCUAACUAAUUAGACACACUAAAGUAAAGGGGGAUUGGGUUUUGGACGAAAAUAAAGUACGACAAAACAAAAACUAGAACUAAACAGAUUUGCACGAAAU